RNAcentral lists this ribosomal RNA (477 nucleotides) under Candidatus Scalindua brodae. Its description in RNAcentral is "bacterial SSU rRNA". It matches the Rfam family "Bacterial small subunit ribosomal RNA", at positions 365 to 832 of the family's 1533-position model. The record is from RNAcentral. Lineage: Bacteria; Pseudomonadati; Planctomycetota; Candidatus Brocadiia; Candidatus Brocadiales; Candidatus Scalinduaceae.
UUCGCAAUGCCCGAAAGGGUGACGAAGCGACGCCGCGUGGGUGAGGAAGGCCUUCGGGUUGUAAAGCCCUGUCAGGAGUUAAGAAAUGUAGGUACGCUAAUAUCGUAUCUAUUUGACAAAGGCUCCAAAGGAAGCCACGGCUAACUCUGUGCCAGCAGCCGCGGUAAUACAGAGGUGGCAAGCGUUGUUCGGAAUUAUUGGGCGUAAAGAGCACGUAGGUGGAUUUGUAAGUCAGAUGUGAAAGCCUUCUGUUCAACGGAAGAAUUGCAUCUGAAACUGCUAAUCUUGAGUGUAGGAGGGGAGAAUGGAACUUCUGGUGGAGCGGUGAAAUGCGUAGAUAUCAGAAGGAACGUCGGCGGCGAAAGCGAUUCUCUGGCCUAUUACUGACACUCAGUGUGCGAAAGCUAGGGGAGCAAACGGGAUUAGAUACCCCGGUAGUCCUAGCCGUAAACGAUGGGCACUAAGUAGAGGGGUUUU